GGCGUGGCGGCAUGCUUAACAUGCAGUCGAACGGCAGCACGGGUGCUUGCACCUGGUGGCGAGUGGCGAACGGGUGAGUAAUACAUCGGAACAUGUCCUGUAGUGGGGGAUAGCCCGGCGAAAGCCGGAUUAAUACCGCAUACGAUCUAAGGAUGAAAGCGGGGGACCUUCGGGCCUCGCGCUAUAGGGUUGGCCGAUGGCUGAUUAGCUAGUUGGUGGGGUAAAGGCCUACCAAGGCGACGAUCAGUAGCUGGUCUGAGAGGACGACCAGCCACACUGGGACUGAGACACGGCCCAGACUCCUACGGGAGGCAGCAGUGGGGAAUUUUGGACAAUGGGCGAAAGCCUGAUCCAGCAAUGCCGCGUGUGUGAAGAAGGCCUUCGGGUUGUAAAGCACUUUUGUCCGGAAAGAAAUCCCUGGUCCUAAUAUGGCCGGGGGAUGACGGUACCGGAAGAAUAAGCACCGGCUAACUACGUGCCAGCAGCCGCGGUAAUACGUAGGGUGCGAGCGUUAAUCGGAAUUACUGGGCGUAAAGCGUGCGCAGGCGGUUUGUUAAGACCGAUGUGAAAUCCCCGGGCUCAACCUGGGAACUGCAUUGGUGACUGGCAAGCUAGAGUAUGGCAGAGGGGGGUAGAAUUCCACGUGUAGCAGUGAAAUGCGUAGAGAUGUGGAGGAAUACCGAUGGCGAAGGCA
This 694-nucleotide ribosomal RNA is filed under the name bacterium. RNAcentral's name for it is "bacterial SSU rRNA". It matches the Rfam family "Bacterial small subunit ribosomal RNA", at positions 32 to 723 of the family's 1533-position model. The record is from RNAcentral.